RNAcentral lists this ribosomal RNA (507 nucleotides) under uncultured Glomeromycotina. RNAcentral's name for it is "SSU rRNA". It matches the Rfam family "Eukaryotic small subunit ribosomal RNA", at positions 569 to 1077 of the family's 1831-position model. Lineage: Eukaryota; Fungi; Glomeromycota. The record is from RNAcentral.
AGCAGCCGCGGUAAUUCCAGCUCCAAUAGCGUAUAUUAAAGUUGUUGCAGUUAAAAAGCUCGUAGUUGAAUUUCGGGAUCGAAUUGUUGGUCGUGCUUCGGUACGCACUGGCAUUAUCGGUUUCUACCUUCUGAAGAACCGCGAUGUCAUUAAUUUGGUGUCGUGGGGAAUCAGGACUGUUACUUUGAAAAAAUUAGAGUGUUUAAAGCAGGCUUACGCUUGAAUACAUUAGCAUGGAAUAAUGAAAUAGGACGUUUGAUUCUAUUUUGUUGGUUUCUAGGAUCGACGUAAUGAUUAAUAGGGAUAGUUGGGGGCAUUAGUAUUCAAUUGUCAGAGGUGAAAUUCUUGGAUUUAUUGAAGACUAACUACUGCGAAAGCAUUUGCCAAGGUUGUUUUCAUUAAUCAAGAACGAAAGUUAGGGGAUCGAAGACGAUCAGAUACCGUCGUAGUCUUAACCAUAAACUAUGCCGACUAGGGAUCGGAUGAUGUUAAUUUUUUUAAUGACUC